RNAcentral lists this ribosomal RNA (439 nucleotides) under uncultured bacterium. RNAcentral's name for it is "partial 16S ribosomal RNA". It matches the Rfam family "Bacterial small subunit ribosomal RNA", at positions 339 to 795 of the family's 1533-position model. The record is from RNAcentral.
CUACGGGGGACACCAGUGGGGAAUAUUGCACAAUGGGGGGAACCCUGAUGCAGCAACGCCGCGUGGAGGAUGACACAUUUCGGUGCGUAAACUCCUUUUAUAUAAGGAGAUAAUGACGGUAUUAUAUGAAUAAGCACCGGCUAACUCCGUGCCAGCAGCCGCGGUAAUACGGGGGGUGCAAGCGUUACUCGGAAUCACUGGGCGUAAAGAGCAUGUAGGCGGGUAGAAAAGUUGGAAGUGAAAUCCUAUGGCUUAACCAUAGAACUGCUUCCAAAACUCUUUACCUAGAAUAUGGGAGAGGUAGAUGGAAUUUCUGGUGUAGGGGUAAAAUCCGUAGAGAUCAGAAGGAAUACCGAUUGCGAAGGCGAUCUACUGGAACAUUAUUGACGCUCAGAUGCGAAAGCGUGAGGAGCAAACAGGAUUAGAUACCCUUGUAGUC